This 360-nucleotide ribosomal RNA is filed under the name Triticum aestivum (bread wheat). RNAcentral describes it as "partial small subunit ribosomal RNA". The record is from RNAcentral. Lineage: Eukaryota; Viridiplantae; Streptophyta; Magnoliopsida; Poales; Poaceae.
AUGACCCGACUGGGUAAAACACUAACUUCAAAAUAUGCAGCAUAUUCUACCCUUUUUUUUUGGUUGAGAAAACGCAAAAGCCUUGUGUUUCAUUCCAUUGAGAAGGUAGAAGAGACACAGUACACACACCCAAACGGGCAGGAAAGAAAACGAUUACAGAGCUCAACAAGUUAUUAUGUAACUAUGUUUGUGCCAACAUUACAAAUUAUUACGAGACAUGGUAUACUGGCAGAAAGCUUCAACCUCUCAGUCGUAGAACUGAACAAUUUGGCUAGCAACAGAAAUAACCUGAAAAAGGAAAACAAUCUAUUAGGAUGGCAAACUUCACCCACAAUGAUGUUUGAGAAUCAAUUAGUCUAA